This is a long non-coding RNA of Coccinella septempunctata (seven-spotted ladybird), 1107 nucleotides long. RefSeq lists it as uncharacterized. The record is from RefSeq and is a predicted model, not a curated record. The transcript has 3 exons. Lineage: Eukaryota; Metazoa; Arthropoda; Insecta; Coleoptera; Coccinellidae.
GUACAAAUUUUCUUCAUUCACGACACUAGGUAUCUUCUCAUCUUUUCGAUAUACUUCUGAUAGUCCUUCAGUAGCGGUCCAAUUAUUUAAAUCGAAGUACAAUAUUUUGUGGAGUAACUUUAUGUCGAUAGAAUUCUGGAGGAUUUGUUUGCGAAGUGGGUCAUUAUUUUCGGGAAAAUUCCUGGGGAAAUUCCUUCGAAAUGACCAUGUCAUCUUUGAAGAAUUUUCUUGUAGUGCUUUCCUCAGAAUGAAUGAACCUUCAAGAACACAUUUUCUAUAUUCACGACACUAAGUAUCUUCUCAUCUUAUCGAUAUACUUCUGAUAGUCCUUUAGUAGCGGUAUAAUUAUUUCAAUGGAAAUGCAAUAUUUUGUGGAACAACUUUAUGUCGAUAGAAUUCUGGAGGGUUUGAUUGCGAAGUGGGUCAUUAUUUUUGGGAUGAUUCCUAGGAAAAUUCCUACGAAAUGAUCAACUCAUCUUCGAGGAAUUUUCUCUUGAUGCUCUCCUUAGAAUCAAUGACUCUUCAAGAUCAGAUUCAACAAAUUUGCGACUAAAGUUUUUUCUCAUCUUAUUGAUUCAUUUCUUAGCGUAAUUCCGUUUCGACUAAAUUAUUAUUUCGUCGCGAUAUAAGUGUUGAGUGUACAAAAAAGGUAAAGAAAGUAGGUACAAGACAAGAUAAUAAGUAUAUUCGAUAAUGUCAUAUAUUUUAUAUCAUUCGAAAUUGAAUUUUGAUAUACGUUACUGACAAAAUGGGUAGUAUUGAAGAUUCAAUACGUAAAUAUUUAACGCAGUAACGUAUUAUCUGAAGAACAGAAGAUAAUCAUUUAUUUUUCAGUAGAAAGUUAAUGGAUCAGAUAGUUUGUCUCGAAAGAUUUUGUCCUCAGAACUGAAUAUAUAAUUAGAUACUGCACCUGUCACUCCUGUCAGCACCUACAACAGCAUGACAGAAGUUGGUGGCAAAAGUCUAAACAACAUAAGUUAUAAGUAGCAGCAGUUGACUUGGAUUGCCGUGAUUAUCAGUAUCGAGAUGGUUUUCUUAUACUCGUGGAGUAACAAACCAUCUAGAGAACAGAAGAUAAUCAUUUAUUUUUCAUAUGAAAGUUAAUGA